GAGAGAGCGGCUAAAAAUAUCCGAAAAAGAACGUAACACAAACGAUCUGAUAAAAUAAGAACGCACGAUGAUGACGCCCGAUCCAGAACAACCGUUAAGUGCUCCACCCCAAAUGAUGCUGCAACAGGGUGAGCGAAAGAGAGGGCGAGCCCGAUACCGAAAGAGACAGAGGCAGAGCCGAACAGAAACGACAGUGAAAGUUCUACACUUUCGCUUUUUCACAGAACCCUGCUAUCAUACGAAAAGCAGCAAUCGUAGAGAUAGAAACCUUUGGAAAUACAAUACAUAGUACAUCAGCAAAUGUGCGGUUGAAUAAAACACCAUGAGGUCCAUUGGAAUAU
Non-coding RNA from Drosophila melanogaster (fruit fly), 341 nucleotides. The record is from Ensembl. Lineage: Eukaryota; Metazoa; Arthropoda; Insecta; Diptera; Drosophilidae.